This 379-nucleotide ribosomal RNA is filed under the name uncultured bacterium. Its description in RNAcentral is "bacterial SSU rRNA". It matches the Rfam family "Bacterial small subunit ribosomal RNA", at positions 790 to 1167 of the family's 1533-position model. The record is from RNAcentral.
GUAGUCCACGCUGUAAACGAUGGGCACUAGACUUUAUGGGACUUGACCCCUGUGGAGUCGUAGCUAACGCGAUAAGUGCCCCGCCUGGGAAGUACGGUCGCAAGACUAAAACUCAAAGGAAUUGACGGGGGCCCGCACAAGCGGUGGAUCAUGUGGUUUAAUUCGAAGCAACGCGCAAAACCUUACCUGGGUUUGACAUCUUCGGAUCGCUGUAGAAAUACAGAAUUUGUAGCAAUACAACCGAAAGACAGGUGCUGCAUGGCUGUCGUCAGCUCGUGUGGUGACAUGUUGGGUUAAGUCCCGCAACGAGCGCAACCCUUGCCUUUAGUUGCCAGCAUUCAGUUGGGCACUCUAGAGGGACUGCCGUGGUUAACACGGA